CGACCGGCGCACGGGUGAGUAACACGUAUCCAACCUGCCGUCUACUCUUGGCCAGCCUUCCGAAAGGAAGAUUAAUCCAGGAUGGCAUCGUGAGUUCACAUGUCCGCAUGAUUAAAGGUAUUUUCCGGUAGACGAUGGGGAUGCGUUCCAUUAGAUAGUAGGCGGGGUAACGGCCCACCUAGUCAACGAUGGAUAGGGGUUCUGAGAGGAAGGUCCCCCACAUUGGAACUGAGACACGGUCCAA
Molecule: ribosomal RNA, 244 nt
Filed under: uncultured bacterium
Lineage: Bacteria
Description: partial 16S ribosomal RNA
Rfam family: Bacterial small subunit ribosomal RNA
Source: RNAcentral